UGGGAAAGAACUUCUUCAAAAAUUCUCUCUGCAUAUCUUGCCAAGUUCUUAUUGAUCUAGGUCGCAACGAGUUUAGCCAUGUUUUGGCCUUAUCUUUUAGAGAGAAAGGAAACAAUGUCAACUUGAGGACAUCCUCGGUGACGUUCGGCACUCUAAAUGUAAUGCUCAAUUCUUCAAAAUCUUUUAAAUUAAGAUACGGACUCUCGGACUCUAACCCGUGGAACUUGGGCGGCAAUUGAAUUACCCCGGGUUUGAUGUCAAAAUGUCC
This 268-nucleotide long non-coding RNA is filed under the name Phoenix dactylifera (date palm). RNAcentral describes it as "long non-coding RNA (PDAC_LNC012242)". The record is from RNAcentral. Lineage: Eukaryota; Viridiplantae; Streptophyta; Magnoliopsida; Arecales; Arecaceae.